CCCUAAUUUACAAAAAAAAGUGCCGUUAUUUGAAAGGAGAAAAGAAUCGAAGGAAAAAUAAAAUUCGAGUUUUGGAAAUAAAUUCUUUUUUAAUACAUCCAUUUCAGCUACAAAUAAAAUGCGGAAAUCUUGUAAAAUGAAUAAAUCUGUAAAUUCUCGUAUGGAUUAUGCUCGCGAAAAUAAUCAAUUUGCAGCAUUUUCUCCAAAGGAUGAGAACAACAAUGACAUACAGGUCUAUGGUCCACCUGCUAGAGAACGCAAUGUCAGUUCACAGCCUGCAAUUAUGGCUGAACUGGAAGAAAGACCAAUAGCUUCGGAUGGAUGUAUUUGCAAUAGAAAAUCACAAAUUAUCGAAUGUAAAAAAUGUCGAAUGCUUUGCUACGGACGAGUAUCGGAAACAUGUCCUCGGCAUCCCAAUGUUUCGUAUUUGAUGGACUUGUAUAAUUGCCCAUCUUGCUAUUGUUCUCGUGUAUUUUUAACAGCAAAAAAAUAAUUUAAUUUCAUAUCUUUACGAUUUUUGGAUUUCAUGACGUAGAACGUCUCAUUUUUCAUCAUCAAUAUUUGGAUAUCAUAUUCUAGUGUGUCAUUUGACAUCUAUAUUAAAAUAUAGAUCGCAUAAUAUUUCUCAUAUAUAGUAAUAUUUAAAAAUUCAUAGUACUUCUAUUGUUGGUAUUUAGAAACAUUUAAUGAAUUUCUCAGUUAUUCAGAUCUGAAUAAAAUAUAAUUGUUAUAAGAA
Musca domestica (house fly) is the source of this 736-nucleotide long non-coding RNA. RefSeq lists it as uncharacterized. The transcript has 2 exons. NCBI's taxonomy places the organism in Eukaryota, Metazoa, Arthropoda, Insecta, Diptera, Muscidae. The record is from RefSeq and is a predicted model, not a curated record.